This is a long non-coding RNA of Amphiprion ocellaris (clown anemonefish), 1267 nucleotides long. RefSeq lists it as uncharacterized. The record is from RefSeq and is a predicted model, not a curated record. Lineage: Eukaryota; Metazoa; Chordata; Actinopteri; Pomacentridae. The transcript has 3 exons.
UGUCCUGAAAAAAUAGAUGUUAUGGACUGUGAUUGUUUUUCAAAAGGAAAAAGCAAAGGUGUGAAACAAAAAUCAGUUUCCAGCAGCUGUUGGUGGUAAAGUGUCCAGUGCCCACCACAGCCAGAGAGAAAGCUGCUGAAUAUUUUGAAUUUCCCUCGGGAUUAAUAAAGCGUCUGUCCGUCGAGUCGUCGGAUCCUCUUGAUCCUCAUCAGGGUCAUGGGGGGCUGGAGUCUAUCCCAGCUGACUGCGGGUGAAGGCAGGGGACACCUGGACAGGGGGAGGUGGUGCACUGGCUGGCCUGUUGGCUGGAUGCAGCCUGCAGGAAGGGCUCCACUCCCACAGUGGGUAAAGGACUGAUGGAGGGAGGAUCCUUCACUCGUCCAAACUCAGGUCAGACGCUGGCGCCUCUGCAGGACAAUAAUCCAGUAAAACCUGCCUCUGAAUACGGCCCAAUGCAUAAAAACACUCAACUAUUUUAAAUAACUAAUGGAUUCUGGUUAAAUGUCUUUUAUUCUUUUAAAGCUGUGUAAUCCUUCAAACUACUGGAUCAUGAACUAUGUGUUUGCAAACUCAGGCUUUGCCAAAGUGAGUUGAAAAAUGUCAGCAGUUGUUCAGUGAGUUAUUUUAAACAGGAGCCAGUGAACAAGCACAGUAGACCUGUUUUUAUAUCUCCUCUUUGUCUGUGUCACAGAGCUACCUCAGGUUAUAAACGUUUCUCAGAGAGCCCAUAGUGUACACAUUUAGAGGUUCCGAAUUGAUUUUGUGGGUCGAGUAGAAUGUUUACAAGUAUUCAUUUUCAAAAAACACAUUAUUUUAACAUGAGUAUUGGGAUGUAGCAGCAGCAGAAGAAGCUGCUCAUUCUUUGUUUGAGGCCAAACUAGCCACCAGGCAGGCGUUUUGUGUUACAUGGUGAUGUAGAUCAGUAACAGAAGAAAUAACUGCACUCUGAAUGAGAUAUUGUGAUAUGAUGAUAACAACAGAGCAGCCCCUUAUUCAUAUGAUUUCUGAAAACAGAAAUAUGUGAACUGGUGAUUCCAACACAAGAAUGAUCCAGGAUUAGAAAACGAAUGCGUUUAACCUGCUGUCUUUAGAUGCUCUGCCAAGGUGGUUGUUGAGUUGUGAUAUUAAAAAGUUUUUUGCAAAGUUUAUCUUCGAUUUUAACAAAAAUGCAACCACACCAUCAAGAUGACUUCUUCGACUUGGUAUCAGACUAUUUAGUUCAGCCACUGAACUGAAAAUGUUUUCCUGUUCUUUUUUAGACUUGUCG